GAGCAGCAGUGGGGAAUAUUGUACAAUGGGCGCAAGCCUGAUGCAGCCAUGCCGCGUGUGUGAAGAAGGCCUUCGGGUUGUAAAGCACUUUCAGUCGUGAGGAAGGUGGUGUAGUUAAUAGCUGCAUUAUUUGACGUUAGCGACAGAAGAAGCACCGGCUAACUCCGUGCCAGCAGCCGCGGUAAUACGGAGGGUGCGAGCGUUAAUCGGAAUUACUGGGCGUAAAGCGCAUGCAGGUGGUUAGUUAAGUCAGAUGUGAAAGCCCGGGGCUCAACCUCGGAACUGCAUUUGAAACUGGCUGACUAGAGUACUGUAGAGGGGGGUAGAAUUUCAGGUGUAGCGGUGAAAUGCGUAGAGAUCUGAAGGAAUACCAGUGGCGAAGGCGGCCCCCUGGACAGAUACUGACACUCAGAUGCGAAAGCGUGGGGAGCAAACAGGAUUAGAUACCCUGGUAGUCCACGCCGUAAACGAUGUCUACUUGGAGGUUGUGGCCUUGAGCCGUGGCUUUCGGAGCUAACGCGUUAAGUAGACCGCCUGGGGAGUACGGUCGCAAGAUUAAAACUCAAAUGAAUUGACGGGGGCCCGCACAAGCGGUGGAGCAUGUGGUUUAAUUCGAUGCAACGCGAAGAACCUUACCUACUCUUGACAUCCAGAGAACUUAGCAGAGAUGCUUUGGUGCC
RNAcentral lists this ribosomal RNA (680 nucleotides) under Vibrio sp. Its description in RNAcentral is "bacterial SSU rRNA". It matches the Rfam family "Bacterial small subunit ribosomal RNA", at positions 346 to 1018 of the family's 1533-position model. Lineage: Bacteria; Pseudomonadati; Pseudomonadota; Gammaproteobacteria; Vibrionales; Vibrionaceae. The record is from RNAcentral.